GCAGACACAUUCCAGCCAAUCAGCAGCAGACCCUCCCUCCCAGACCCUCCCACCUCCUGGACAGCAUCCAUUGUGAAGCUGCAUUCUUAGUGAGCUGUCCAGGAGGUGGGAGGGUCUGGGAGAGAGGGUCUGCUGCUGAUUGGCUGGAAUGUGUCUG
Molecule: microRNA precursor, 157 nt
Filed under: Pelobates cultripes (western spadefoot toad)
Lineage: Eukaryota; Metazoa; Chordata; Amphibia; Anura; Pelobatidae
Source: RNAcentral